CCCUUUGGGUGUGACUGCGUACCUUUUGUAUAAUGGGUCAGCGACUUAUAUUCUGUAGCAAGGUUAACCGAAUAGGGGAGCCGGAGGGAAACCGAGUCUUAACCGGGCGUUAAGUUGCAGGGUAUAGACCCGAAACCCGGUGAUCUAGCCAUGGGCAGGUUGAAGGUUGGGUAACACUAACUGGAGGACCGAACCGACUAAUGUUGAAAAAUUAGCGGAUGACCUGUGGCUGGGGGUGAAAGGCCAAUCAAACCGGGAGAUAGCUGGUUCUCCCCGAAAGCUAUUUAGGUAGCGCCUCGUGAAUUCAUCUCCGGGGGUAGAGCACUGUUUCGGCUAGGGGGCCAUCCCGGCUUACCAACCCGAUGCAAACUGCGAAUACCGGAGAAUGUUAUCACGGGAGACACACGGCGGGUGCUAACGUCCGUCGUGAAGAGGGAAACAACCCAGACCGCCAGCUAAGGUCCCAAAGUCAUGGUUAAGUGGGAAACGAUGUGGGAAGGCCCAGACAGCCAGGAUGUUGGCUUAGAAGCAGCCAUCAUUUAAAGAAAGCGUAAUAGCUCACUGGUCGAGUCGGCCUGCGCGGAAGAUGUAACGGGGCUAAACCAUGCACCGAAGCUGCGGCAGCGACACUGUGUGUUGUUGGGUAGGGGAGCGUUCUGUAAGCCUGCGAAGGUGGCCUGUGAGGGUUGCUGGAGGUAUCAGAAGUGCGAAUGCUGACAUAAGUAACGAUAAAGCGGGUGAAAAGCCCGCUCGCCGGAAGACCAAGGGUUCCUGUCCAACGUUAAUCGGGGCAGGGUGAGUCGACCCCUAAGGCGAGGCCGAAAGGCGUAGUCGAUGGGAAACGGGUUAAUAUUCCCGUACUUGGUGUUACUGCGAAGGGGGGACGGAGAAGGCUAUGUUGGCCGGGCGACGGUU
This 915-nucleotide ribosomal RNA is filed under the name Salmonella enterica subsp. enterica serovar Enteritidis. RNAcentral's name for it is "partial 23S ribosomal RNA". It matches the Rfam family "Bacterial large subunit ribosomal RNA", at positions 582 to 1503 of the family's 2925-position model. The record is from RNAcentral. Lineage: Bacteria; Pseudomonadati; Pseudomonadota; Gammaproteobacteria; Enterobacterales; Enterobacteriaceae.